This 252-nucleotide ribosomal RNA is filed under the name uncultured bacterium. RNAcentral's name for it is "partial 16S ribosomal RNA". It matches the Rfam family "Bacterial small subunit ribosomal RNA", at positions 524 to 776 of the family's 1533-position model. The record is from RNAcentral.
UACGAGGGGGGCAAAUGUUGUUCGGAGUCACUGGGCGUAAAGGGAGCGUAGGCGGGUUUUAAGUCAGGUGUUUAAUCCCGGGGCCCAACCCCGGACAGGCACUUGAAACUGGGAAUCUUGAAUAGUGGAGAGGUCAGUGGAAUUGGGGGUGUAGCGGUGGAAUGCGUAGAGAUCCCCAAGAACACCCGUUGCGAAGGCGGCUGACUGGACACAUAUUGACGCUGAGGCUCGAAAGCAUGGGGAGCAAACAGG